ACCUCCUUCAAUUUCAGCUCCUUCAUCGCCUUCUCAUCCUUCGUCCCCAACCCCAGCGAGUUGAAAACGGACCCCUGGGGGAGGCCGGUUGGCC
Molecule: long non-coding RNA, 94 nt
Organism: Telopea speciosissima
Lineage: Eukaryota; Viridiplantae; Streptophyta; Magnoliopsida; Proteales; Proteaceae
Exons: 3
Source: RefSeq, a predicted model, not a curated record